AUGAAUAAUAUAAGUUUUUGAUUAUUACCUCCUGCAUUAACUCUAUUAUUAGUAAGAAGUAUAGUAGAAAAGGGAGCUGGAACAGGUUGAACUGUUUAUCCACCUUUAUCAUCAAUUAUUGCUCAUGGUGGAGCUUCAGUUGAUUUAGCUAUUUUCUCUCUUCACUUAGCAGGAAUUUCUUCAAUUUUAGGAGCAGUAAAUUUUAUUACAACUGUUAUUAACAUACGAUCAACAGGAAUUACAUUCGAUCGAAUGCCUUUAUUUGUUUGAUCAGUUGUAAUUACUGCAUUAUUAUUAUUAUUAUCUCUUCCUGUUCUUGCUGGAGCUAUUACUAUACUAUUAACUGAUCGAAAUUUAAAUACUUCAUUCUUUGAUCCAGCUGGAGGAGGUGAUCCAAUUCUUUAUCAACACUUAUUCUGAUUCUUUGGACAUCCAGAAGUUUAUAUUUUAAUUUUACCUGGAUUUGGAAUAAUUUCUCAUAUUAUUAGUCAAGAAUCAGGAAAGAAGGAAACAUUCGGUUCUUUAGGAAUAAUUUAUGCUAUGUUAGCAAUUGGACUUUUAGGAUUUAUUGUAUGAGCUCAUCACAUAUUUACUGUUGGAAUAGACGUUGAUACUCGAGCUUACUUCACUUCAGCUACAAUAAUUAUUGCUGUACCUACUGGAAUUAAGAUUUUAGUUGAUUAGCUACAUUAUACGGAACUCAACUAACUUAUUCUCCAGCUAUUUUAUGAGCUUUAGGAUUCGUAUUCUUAUUUACUGUAGGAGGUUUAACAGGAGUAGUACUAGCUAACUCAUCUGUUGAUAUUAUUUUACAUGAUACAUAUUAUGUAGUUGCUCAUUUCCACUAUGUACUUUCUAUAGGAGCUGUAUUUGCUAUUAUAGCAGGAUUUGUACAUUGAUACCCUCUAUUUACUGUAUUAACUCUAAAUAAUAAACUUUUAAAAAGUCAAUUUGUUAUUAUAUUUAUUGGAGUAAAUUUAACAUUCUUCCCUCAACAUUUCUUAGGAUUAGCCGGAAUACCUCGACGAUAUUCUGAUUAUCCUGAUGCUUAUACAGCAUGAAAUGUAAUUUCAACAAUCGGUUCAACAAUUUCAUUAUUAGGAAUUUUAUAUUUAUUCUAUAUUAUCUGAGAAAGUUUAGUAUCUCAACGACAAGUAAUUUUCCCAAUUCAAUUAAAUUCAUCAAUUGAAUGAUUACAAAAUACUCCACCUGCUGAACACAGAUAUAAUGAAUUGCCUUUACUAACUAAUUUCUAAUAUGGCAGAUUAGUGCAAUGGAUUUAAGCUCCAUAUAUAAAGUAUUUUACUUUUAUUAGAAACUAAUGUCAACAUGAGCAAAUUUAGGUUUACAAGAUAGUUCUUCUCCAUUAAUAGAACAAUUAAUUUUUUUUCAUGAUCAUGCAUUAAUAAUUUUAGUAAUAAUUACAGUAUUAGUCGGAUAUUUAAUGUUUACAUUAUUUUUUAAUAAAUAUGUUAAUCGUUAUUUAUUACAUGGACAAACAAUUGAAAUUAUUUGAACUAUUUUACCUGCAAUUAUUUUAUUAUUCAUUGCUUUCCCUUCUUUACGAUUAUUAUACUUAUUAGAUGAAAUUAAUGAACCAUCAGUAACUUUAAAGGCUAUUGGUCAUCAAUGAUAUUGAAGUUAUGAAUAUUCAGAUUUUAAUAAUGUUGAAUUUGAUUCUUAUAUAAUUCCUACAAAUGAAUUACCAGUAGACGGAUUUCGUUUAUUAGAUGUAGAUAAUCGAGUAGUUUUACCAAUAAAUUCUCAAAUUCGAAUUUUAGUAACUGCUGCUGAUGUAAUUCAUUCAUGAACUGUUCCUGCUUUAGGUGUAAAGGUUGAUGGUACUCCUGGUCGUCUAAAUCAAACUAAUUUCUUAAUUAAUCGACCAGGUUUAUUCUAUGGACAAUGUUCAGAAAUUUGUGGAGCUAAUCAUAGUUUUAUACCAAUUGUAAUUGAAAGUAUUCCUGUAAAUUAUUUUAUUAAGUGAAUUUCUAAAAAUAAUUCUU
This is an RNA transcript of Musca domestica (house fly), 2006 nucleotides long. It is a transcript of the gene named cytochrome c oxidase subunit 1-like, with no coding region annotated. The record is from RefSeq and is a predicted model, not a curated record. NCBI's taxonomy places the organism in Eukaryota, Metazoa, Arthropoda, Insecta, Diptera, Muscidae. The transcript has a single exon.